This 429-nucleotide ribosomal RNA is filed under the name Bacteroidota bacterium. Its description in RNAcentral is "Bacteroidetes bacterium partial 16S ribosomal RNA". It matches the Rfam family "Bacterial small subunit ribosomal RNA", at positions 355 to 776 of the family's 1533-position model. The record is from RNAcentral. Lineage: Bacteria; Pseudomonadati; Bacteroidota.
UAGGGAAUCUUCGGCAAUGGGGGGAACCCUGACCGAGCAACGCCGCGUGAGUGAAGAAGGUUUUCGGAUCGUAAAGCUCUGUUGUUAAGGAAGAACGAGUGUGAGAAUGGAAAGUUCAUACUGUGACGGUACUUAACCAGAAAGGGACGGCUAACUACGUGCCAGCAGCCGCGGUAAUACGUAGGUCACGAGCGUUGUCCGGAUUUAUUGGGCGUAAAGCGAGCGCAGGCGGUUAGAUAAGUCUGAAGUUAAAGGCAGUGGCUCAACCAUUGUAGGCUUUGGAAACUGUUUAACUUGAGUGCAGAAGAGGAGAGUGGAAUUCCAUGUGUAGCGGUGAAAUGCGUAGAUAUAUGGAGGAACACCAGUGGCGAAGGCGACUAUCUGGUCUGUAACUGACGCUGAGGCUCGAAAGCGUGGGUAGCAAACAGG